CCUGGCUCAGGAUGAACGCUAGCUACAGGCUUAACACAUGCAAGUCGAGGGGCAGCAUUGGAGUAGCAAUACUCAGAUGGCGACCGGCGCACGGGUGAGUAACACGUAUCCAACCUGCCGCUUACUCGGGGAUAGCCUUUCGAAAGAAAGAUUAAUACCCGAUGGUAUAAAGAGUUCGCAUGUUCUCUUUAUUAAAGAAUUUCGGUAAGCGAUGGGGAUGCGUUCCAUUAGAUAGUUGGCGGGGUAACGGCCCACCAAGUCUACGAUGGAUAGGGGUUCUGAGAGGAAGGUCCCCCACAUUGGAACUGAGACACGGUCCAAACUCCUACGGGAGGCAGCAGUGAGGAAUAUUGGUCAAUGGACGAGAGUCUGAACCAGCCAAAAGUAGCGUGAAGGAUGACUGCCCUAUGGGUUGUAAACUUCUUUUAUAAGGGAAUAAAGUGAGGGACGUGUCCCUUUUUGUAUGUACCUUAUGAAUAAGGAUCGGCUAACUCCGUGCCAGCCGCCGC
This 509-nucleotide ribosomal RNA is filed under the name uncultured bacterium. Its description in RNAcentral is "bacterial SSU rRNA". It matches the Rfam family "Bacterial small subunit ribosomal RNA", at positions 18 to 518 of the family's 1533-position model. The record is from RNAcentral.